AUUUUUCUUCUUUAAACUAUUCGUUUCUAGUUUCUACUCAAUUUCACCAGAUCUUAAUUACCUCGAUUUUUCAUUUUCCGUUCCCGAAAGGAAAACAUCAAACCCUAAAAAGACCAAAAGGGAUGUUCAGGUUCGAAUUUGAAAAGAUCAGGAAACGAAUUUGAUUUCAUCGAAGGAAAAACUUUUUGUUUUUUUAUUAAUUUCUGUUAUGGCCGACGCGUUCUCCGUGAUUCCUGCCUCCGUCCUUCGUAAUCUCUCCGACAAGCUGUACGAGAAGCGCAAGAAUGCGGCCCUAGAGAUUGAAGGAAUUGUGAAACAGCUGGCUUCAUCGGGAGAUCACGAGAAGAUAUCGGCGGUGAUCAAGUUAUUAGCUACUGAAUUUACCGGCUCACCACAAGCCAAUCACCGUAAGGGAGGAUUGAUAGGUUUAGCUGCCGCCACUGUUGGGUUGAGUUCCGAAGCUGCCCAACAUCUUGAGCAAAUUGUGCCACCAGUGCUUAGUUCUUUUUCUGACCAAGAUAGCAGAGUUCGUUAUUAUGCUUGUGAAGCUCUAUAUAACAUUGCAAAGGUUGUCCGAGGAGAUUUUAUUAUAUUCUUUAAUAAGAUAUUUGAUGCUUUAUGCAAGCUUUCUGCUGAUUCAGAUGCCAACGUACAGAGUGCUGCUCACCUUUUAGAUAGGCUUGUGAAGGACAUUGUUACUGAAAGUGAUCAGUUCAGUAUUGAAGAAUUUAUACCAUUGUUGAGAGAGCGCAUGAAUGUCCUAAACCCCUAUGUCCGUCAGUUUUUGGUUGGAUGGAUAACUGUACUGGAUAGUGUUCCAGACAUUGACAUGUUGGGUUUCCUCCCUGAUUUUCUUGAUGGUUUGUUUAAUAUGUUAAGUGAUUCUAGUCGUGAAAUACGGCAGCAAGCUGAUUCAGCACUUUCAGAGUUUCUCCUAGAGAUUAAGAACUCUCCAUCUGUAGAUUAUGGUCGCAUGGCUGAAAUAUUGGUGCAAAGGGCAGCUGCUCUUGAUGAAUUCACUCGAUUAACAGCCAUCACUUGGAUAAAUGAGUUCGUAAAACUUGGUGGAGACCAGCUUUUUCCCUACUAUGCUGACAUACUGGGAGCCAUUCUCCCCUGCAUAUCUGAUAAAGAAGAGAAAAUUAGAGUGGUUGCUCGUGAAACCAAUGAAGCACUUCGUUCAAUUGAGGCUAAUCCAACAGAAAACUUUGAUGUGGGUGGCAUUCUCUCGAUUGCGAGGAGGCAACUGGAUAGUGAGUGGGAAGCUACCAGAAUUGAAGCAUUGCACUGGAUAUCAACCCUUUUAAACAGACAUCGUGCUGAGGUCCUGUGUUUUCUAAACGACAUAUUUGACACCCUGUUGAAAGCUCUAUCUGACUCUUCUGAUGAGGUGGUGCUCCUGGUUCUUGACAUUCACGCUUGCAUUGCACAAGAUCCCCCACAUUUCCGCCAACUUGUUGUUUUUCUGGUGCAUAAUUUCCGGAUUGAUCAUUCUCUUCUGGAGAGGCGUGGUGCUUUAAUAAUCCGUAGACUUUGUGUUCUCCUGGAUGCUGAAAGGGUUUAUCGUGAGCUAUCCACCAUACUAGAGGGAGAAGCAGACCUAGAUUUUGCCUGCGUUAUGGUUCAGGCUUUGAAUUUAAUUCUACUCACUUCUUCUGAGCUAUCUGAGCUUCGGGAACUUUUGAAACAGUCACUUGUUAAUGCUGCUGGAAAAGAUUUAUUUGUUUCUUUGUAUGCAUCAUGGUGCCAUUCACCCAUGGCAAUCAUUAGUCUCUGUUUAUUAGCUCAGACGUACCAACAUGCAUGUGCUGUGAUUCAGUCCCUGGUUGAGGAAGAUAUUAAUGCCAAAUUCUUGGUCCAGCUUGAUAAGUUGAUUCGCUUGCUCGAAACUCCAGUCUUCGCUUAUCUAAGAUUGCAGCUUCUUGAACCCAGACAAUACAUAUGGUUGCUUAAAGCAUUAUAUGGUCUUUUGAUGCUGCUUCCACAGCAAAGUUCUGCAUUCAAGGUUUUGCGAAGACGUUUAAAAACUGUGCCAUCAUACUCUUUCGAUGGUGGUAAUCUCAAACGAGCAGCUUCAGGCAACCCUUACUCUCAAAUUUUACAUCAUAGUGGAUCACAAAUUACCGAGGAUGGUGAUAUAGACCAAGAUAAUGGGAAUUUACAGAAUGGAAUUAACUUUGCUUCAUUGCAACAGUUUAAGCAAAUGCAGCAACAACACCAUAUGCUUGCAAAAUCACGAGCACAAUCACGAAACAGUUCCACUUCAUUUUUGAAGGUGAGGGCCCAAAGUAGAACCCUUACAACCUUCAACAUUAGGCACAAACAAGCCUCCAUUAUCAUCUAGGGAGGGCCGGGGCAAUUGUAGAUUUAAUUGCUGUCGUUACUGCCAAUUGAUAAUUCAACUUCAAUCAUACUACAAUCCUCGGCGGGAUGAAAGCUAGCAAGAGCUAGUAAAAUUUGAAGUUAGCGGAAUGUAAAGAUAGAGGGAUUCCAAGAGCAAGAUGGAAGCUAACAAGAUACAAGCUAUCGGAAGUUAGGGCGAUCCAAUAGCUCAUUCUCAAUAGAGAUGACUACCAAGUCAACCAUUUAAAGAAAAAAAAAAAGAUUACUACCAAGCUGAAAAGUGUUUUCGAGAUUUUUACUGCUAAUAGCAUGUCUAUUAUAAUCCUAGAAGACCUUUCAUAUUGUCGUAAAAUUUGCAAGACAUGCCCAUUAAAUCAUUAUACCAAAUUUAUUUGUAUAUAUACUUUUAAAUA
This is an RNA transcript of Gossypium raimondii (Peruvian cotton), 2756 nucleotides long. It is a transcript of the gene named protein VAC14 homolog, with no coding region annotated. The record is from RefSeq and is a predicted model, not a curated record. Lineage: Eukaryota; Viridiplantae; Streptophyta; Magnoliopsida; Malvales; Malvaceae. The transcript has 21 exons.